RNAcentral lists this ribosomal RNA (1066 nucleotides) under Candidatus Uzinura diaspidicola. RNAcentral describes it as "bacterial SSU rRNA". It matches the Rfam family "Bacterial small subunit ribosomal RNA", at positions 124 to 1188 of the family's 1533-position model. The record is from RNAcentral. Lineage: Bacteria; Pseudomonadati; Bacteroidota; Flavobacteriia; Flavobacteriales.
AUCUACCUUUUGCUGGGGUAUAGCCAGAGGAAAUUCUGAUUAAUCCCCCAUAAUAUAAAGAUUCUGCAUGGAGCCUUUAUUAAAGCUUUGGUGGCAAAAGAUGAGCAUGCGUUUGAUUAGUUAGUUGGUGAGGUAAUGGCUCUACCAAGACUAUGAUCAGUAGGGGGCCUGAGAGGGUGUACCCCCACACUGGUACUGAGACACGGACCAGACUUCUACGGAAGGGCAGCAGUGAGGAAUAUUGGUCAAUGGAGGAAACUCUGAACCAGCUAUGUCGCGUGCAGGAUGACUGCCUUUUGGGUUGUAAACUGCUUUUGUAUAGAAAUAAAAAUUCCUACGAGAUAGGGAUCUGAAGGUACUAUACGAAUAAGUGUCGGCUAAAUCCGUGCCAGCAGCCGCGGCAAUACGGAUGACACAAGCGUUAUUCGGAUUUAUUGGGUUUAAAGGGUGUGUAGGCUGUUUAUUAAGUCAGUAGUGAAAGCUUACAGCUUAACUGUAAAAUUGCUAUUGAUACUGGUAAGCUUGAGUAAGAUUGGAGCAUCUGGAAUGUAUGGUGUAGCGGUGAAAUGCAUAGAUAUCAUACAGAACACCGAUAGCGAAGGCAGGUUGCUAAAUCUUUACUGACGCUGAUUGCACGAAAGCGUGGGUAGCAAACAGGAUUAGAUACCCUGGUAGUCCACGCCCUAAACGAUGAUCACUAGCUAUUGGAAAAACGAUAUUCAGUGGCUUAGCGAAAGCGAUAAGUGAUCCACCUGGGAAGUACAGUCGCAAGAUUGAAACUCAAAGGAAUUGACGGGGGUUCGCACAAGCGGUGGAGCAUGUGGUUUAAUUCGAUGAUACGCGAGGAACCUUACCAAGGCUUAAAUGUAUUACGAAUAAGCUGGAAACAGCUUAGUCUAUACGACGUAUUACAAGGUGCUGCAUGGUUGUCUUCAGUUCGUGCUGUGAAGUGUUUGGUUAAGUCCUAUAACGAGCGCAACCCCUAUUGUUAGUUGCCAUCGGGUAAAGCCGGGAACUCUAACAAAACUGCCGGUGUAAACUGUGAGGAAGGUGGGGAUGAUGUCAA